RNAcentral lists this ribosomal RNA (355 nucleotides) under uncultured bacterium. RNAcentral's name for it is "bacterial SSU rRNA". It matches the Rfam family "Bacterial small subunit ribosomal RNA", at positions 28 to 412 of the family's 1533-position model. The record is from RNAcentral.
GAUGAACGCUGGCGGUAUGCUUAACACAUGCAAGUCGAACGGGACCUUCGGGUCAAGUGGCGGACGGGUGAGUAACGCGUGAGAAUCUGGCCUCAGGUCGGGGACAACAGCGGGAAACUGCUGCUAAUACCGGAUAUGCCUAAGGGUGAAAGAUUAAUUGCCUGGGGAUGAGCUCGCGUCUGAUUAGCUAGUUGGAGAGGUAAAAGCUCACCAAGGCGACGAUCAGUAGCUGGUCUGAGAGGACGAGCAGCCACACUGGGACUGAGACACGGCCCAGACUCCUACGGGAGGCAGCAGUGAGGGAUUUUCCACAAUGGGCGAAAGCCUGAUGGAGCAAUGCCGCGUGGAGGAAGAC